GAUGAACGCUGGCGGCGUGCCUAAUACAUGCGAGUCGAGCGAACAGAUGAGGAGCUUGCUCCUCUGACGUUAGCGGCGGACGGGUGAGUAACACGUGGAUAACCUACCUAUAAGACUGGGAUAACUUCGGGAAACCGGAGCUAAUACCGGAUAAAAUAUUGAACCGCAUGGUUCAAUAGUGAAAGACGGUUUUGCUGUCACUUAUAGAUGGAUCCGCGCCGCAUUAGCUAGUUGGUAAGGUAACGGCUUACCAAGGCAACGAUGCGUAGCCGACCUGAGAGGGGGAUCGCCCCCCUGGGAAUGGAACCACGGCCCCAACUCCUAGGGGGGGCAGCAGUGGGGAAUUUUCCGCAAGGGGGAAAACCCGACCGAACCACCGCCGCGUGAGUGAUAAAGUUCUUCGCAUCUUAAACCUUUUUUAUGAGGAAAGAAAAAAUGGUAAAGUAACGAUGCACUUCUUGACGUCACCUAACCAAAAAGCCCCGGAUAACUCCGUC
Molecule: ribosomal RNA, 497 nt
Filed under: uncultured bacterium
Lineage: Bacteria
Description: partial 16S ribosomal RNA
Rfam family: Bacterial small subunit ribosomal RNA
Source: RNAcentral